CACGUAGGGCGCGAGCGUUGUCCGGAAUUAUUGGGCGUAAAGAGCUCGUAGGCGGUCUGUUGCGUCCGCUGUGAAAACUCGGGGCUUAACCCCGAGCCUGCAGUGGAUACGGGCAGACUAGAGGUAGGUAGGGGAGAAUGGAAUUCCCGGUGUAGCGGUGAAAUGCGCAGAUAUCAGGAGGAACACCGGUGGCGAAGGCGGGUCUCUGGGCCGAUACUGACGCUGAGGAGCGAAAGCGUGGGGAGCGAACAGG
Molecule: ribosomal RNA, 253 nt
Filed under: uncultured bacterium
Lineage: Bacteria
Description: partial 16S ribosomal RNA
Rfam family: Bacterial small subunit ribosomal RNA
Source: RNAcentral